Molecule: ribosomal RNA, 253 nt
Filed under: uncultured bacterium
Lineage: Bacteria
Description: partial 16S ribosomal RNA
Rfam family: Bacterial small subunit ribosomal RNA
Source: RNAcentral
UACGGAGGUGGCAAGCGUUGUUCGGAAUUACUGGGCGUAAAGGGCGUGUAGGCGGCGUGGUAAGUCAGAUGUGAAAGCCCUGGGCUUAACUCAGGAAGUGCAUUUGAAACUGCCAUGCUUGAGUAUGGGAGAGGAGAGUGGAAUUCCCAGUGUAGAGGUGAAAUUCGUAGAUAUUGGGAGGAACACCCGUGGCGAAGGCGACUCUCUGGACCAAUACUGACGCUGAAGCGCGAAAGCGUGGGGAGCAAACAGG